RNAcentral lists this ribosomal RNA (506 nucleotides) under Streptomyces niveus. RNAcentral describes it as "bacterial SSU rRNA". It matches the Rfam family "Bacterial small subunit ribosomal RNA", at positions 75 to 596 of the family's 1533-position model. Lineage: Bacteria; Bacillati; Actinomycetota; Actinomycetes; Kitasatosporales; Streptomycetaceae. The record is from RNAcentral.
GCCCAUUCGGGGUGGAUUAGUGGCGAACGGGUGAGUAACACGUGGGCAAUCUGCCCUUCACUCUGGGACAAGCCCUGGAAACGGGGUCUAAUACCGGAUAAUACCUUCUCUCGCAUGGGAGAGGGUUGAAAGCUCCGGCGGUGAAGGAUGAGCCCGCGGCCUAUCAGCUUGUUGGUGAGGUAGAAGCUCACCAAGGCGACGACGGGUAGCCGGCCUGAGAGGGCGACCGGCCACACUGGGACUGAGACACGGCCCAGACUCCUACGGGAGGCAGCAGUGGGGAAUAUUGCACAAUGGGCGAAAGCCUGAUGCAGCGACGCCGCGUGAGGGAUGACGGCCUUCGGGUUGUAAACCUCUUUCAGCAGGGAAGAAGCGAAAGUGACGGUACCUGCAGAAGAAGCGCCGGCUAACUACGUGCCAGCAGCCGCGGUAAUACGUAGGGCGCAAGCGUUGUCCGGAAUUAUUGGGCGUAAAGAGCUCGUAGGCGGCUUGUCACGUCGGUUGUG